RNAcentral lists this small RNA (567 nucleotides) under Pan troglodytes (chimpanzee). RNAcentral's name for it is "processed transcript". Lineage: Eukaryota; Metazoa; Chordata; Mammalia; Primates; Hominidae. The record is from RNAcentral.
ACUUUUUCCAGGGGCGAGGGUCGCGGAGGGGACAGCGUCAGGGCCGCUGGGGUGGGGACGGCGGGCGAGGCGCAAACUUUACUAGGAGUUUUUGGCACUUGGAGGCAGAUCCUGUUGGGCGGCACAGCACGCCCGCUGGGAAACGCAGGGGAGCGGCCUGCUUCGCUGAAAACCCGACCAGGACCUAACGGGCCGCGGGACAGAAACCUCCGAGACCAUGGUAUAGCUGUGGACCAACUGUAUAUGAUCAUGCGCACCUUGGCCAUGCUUGCUCAUAUGUUAGAUUUGAUAUCAUUCGAAGGAUCCUAACCAAGGUUUUUGGAUGCAACAUAGUCAUGGUGAUGGGUAUUACAGAUGUAGAUGAUAAAAUCAUCAAAAGAGCCAAUGAGAUGAAUAUUUCCCCCGCUUCCCUCGCCAGUCUUUAUGAGGAAGACUUCAAGCAGGACAUGGCAGCCCUGAAGGUUCUCCCACCCACGGUGUACCUGAGGGUAACCGAAAAUAUUCCUCAGAUAAUUUCUUUCAUUGAAGGAAUCAUUGCUCGUGGGAACGCUUAUUCAACGGCAAAAG